RNAcentral lists this ribosomal RNA (768 nucleotides) under Triticum aestivum (bread wheat). RNAcentral's name for it is "partial small subunit ribosomal RNA". Lineage: Eukaryota; Viridiplantae; Streptophyta; Magnoliopsida; Poales; Poaceae. The record is from RNAcentral.
AUGGCCACUACAAGCCUGUGCAGUCUGUGUGGGGCGGAGGAUUCCUGGCGGCACUCGCUUCUCGAGUGCUCGAUGGCAAGAUGCGUUUGGGCAUUGGUUGAUGGGGAACUGGCGGAACACCUGUGCGAAACGACGGAGCCGAGCGCUAAGCAGUGGCUAUUCUCCAUGAUAGACACAUUAUCGCAUGCAGCCUUCGUAAAGUUAUCAGUCACCCUGUGGGCAAUUUGGUGGGCGAGGAGGAAAGCAAUACAUGACGAGGUAUUCCAGAGUCCGGCUGCUACUUAUCAAUUCAUAUCCCCUCCACCGGGUUUUAUGAAAAUCCACGUCGAUGCGAGUAUUGCAAGAAAUCAGAGUAGAGGGGCGGCCUCGGCUGUAUGCAGAGAUGCGCAUGGCAAUUAUGUGGGAAGCUCGUCGUUGGUUAUUGAGGGAGUAAGUAGCGCGGCAACGAUGGAAGCUGUUGCUUGUAGGGAGGCUCUCUCCCUAGCGGAUGAUCUGAUGUUACAUAGCUUCAUUGUGGCGUCCGACUCGAAGCAGAUUGUGAGUGAGAUCAACAAUGGCUCUAAUGGAGUUUACGGAGCGAUUUUAUCAGAGAUAAGGAAUAGGUCUCUUUUGUUUAAUUGCAGUUUUACUUUCGAAGGCAGAGCGGUUAACCGUGAUGCCGAUAGGUUAGCCAAGUUCUCAAACUCUUUAGAUCAGGGUAGACAUGUGUGGUUGAUGCAACCUCACGACCCCAUUGUAAUGCCAAUUCAUGUGGAGUUUGUUCAAUAA